CAGCAGCCGCGGUAAUACGUAGGGUGCGAGCGUUAAUCGGAAUUACUGGGCGUAAAGCGCACGUAGGCGGAAAUUUAAGUCAGGGGUGAAAUCCCGAGGCUCAACCUCGGAACUGCCUUUGAUACUGGGUUUCUUGAGUCCGGAAGAGGUGAGUGGAACUGCGAGUGUAGAGGUGAAAUUCGUAGAUAUUCGCAAGAACACCAGUGGCGAAGGCGGCUCACUGGUCCGGAACUGACGCUGAGGUGCGAAAGCGUGGGGAGCAAACAGGAUUAGAUACCCCAGUAGUCCCUGUCUCUUAUAC
RNAcentral lists this ribosomal RNA (301 nucleotides) under uncultured bacterium. RNAcentral's name for it is "partial 16S ribosomal RNA". It matches the Rfam family "Bacterial small subunit ribosomal RNA", at positions 509 to 807 of the family's 1533-position model. The record is from RNAcentral.